GAUGAACGCUGGCGGCGUGCCUAACACAUGCAAGUCGAGCGAUUCUCUUCGGAGAAGAGCGGCGGACGGGUGAGUAACGCGUGGGUAACCUGCCCUGUACACACGGAUAACAUACCGAAAGGUAUGCUAAUACGAGAUAAUAUGCUUUUAUCGCAUGGUAGAAGUAUCAAAGCUUUUGCGGUACAGGAUGGACCAGCGCCUGAUUAGCUAGUUGGUAAGGUAACGGCUUACCAAGGCGACGAUCAGUGGCCGACCUGAGAGGGUGAUCGGGCACAUUGGGACUGAGACACGGUCCAAACUCCAGCGGGAGGCAGCAGUGGGGAAUAUUGCACAAUGGGCGAAAGCCUGAUGCAGCAACGCCGCGUGAGCGAUGAAGGCCUUCGGGUCGUAAAGCUCUGUCCUCAAGGAAGAUAAUGACGGUACUUGAGGAGGAAGCCCCGGCUAACUACGUGCCAGCCGCCGCAGUAA
RNAcentral lists this ribosomal RNA (468 nucleotides) under uncultured bacterium. RNAcentral's name for it is "partial 16S ribosomal RNA". It matches the Rfam family "Bacterial small subunit ribosomal RNA", at positions 28 to 523 of the family's 1533-position model. The record is from RNAcentral.